AGUGAACGCUGGCGGUAGGCCUAACACAUGCAAGUCGAACGGCAGCACAGCAGUAGCAAUACUGUGGGUGGCGAGUGGCGGACGGGUGAGGAAUACAUCGGAAUCUACCUUUUCGUGGGGGAUAACGUAGGGAAACUUACGCUAAUACCGCAUAAGACCUUCGGUGAAAGUGGGGGACCGUUCGGGCCGUCACGCGGAUA
RNAcentral lists this ribosomal RNA (200 nucleotides) under uncultured bacterium. RNAcentral describes it as "partial 16S ribosomal RNA". It matches the Rfam family "Bacterial small subunit ribosomal RNA", at positions 29 to 223 of the family's 1533-position model. The record is from RNAcentral.